ACAGCAAUAUCACGUUGAAACACCGGUUUCUGUACGAUCACCAAGUUUAGCAACGUUGAGCCUGGUCAGUACUUAGAUGAGUGACCGCUUGGGAAUAGCAGGUGCU
Molecule: non-coding RNA, 106 nt
Organism: Acanthosepion pharaonis
Lineage: Eukaryota; Metazoa; Mollusca; Cephalopoda; Sepiida; Sepiidae
Source: the annotation of a GenBank genome assembly